AGAGUUUGAUCCUGGCUCAGGAUGAACGCUAGCGGCAGGCCUAAUACAUGCAAGUCGAACGGGAUCCGGUCGUAGCUUGCUACGAUCGGUGAGAGUGGCGCACGGGUGCGUAACGCGUGAGCAACCUACCCAUAUCAGGGGGAUAGCCCGGAGAAAUCCGGAUUAACACCGCAUGCAACCAUUAGAUGGCAUCAUCAUAUGGUUAAAUAUUCAUAGGAUAUGGAUGGGCUCGCGUGACAUUAGCUGGUUGGUGGGGUAACGGCCCACCAAGGCGACGAUGUCUAGGGGCUCUGAGAGGAGAAUCCCCCACACUGGUACUGAGACACGGACCAGACUCCUACGGGAGGCAGCAGUAAGGAAUAUUGGUCAAUGGGGGCAACCCUGAACCAGCCAUGCCGCGUGCAGGAUGACUGCCCUAUGGGUUGUAAACUGCUUUUGCCGGGGAAUAAACCCCUCCACGAGUGGAGGGCUGAAUGUACCCGGAGAAUAAGGAUCGGCUAACUCCGUGCCAGCCGCCGCGGUAAUUC
Molecule: ribosomal RNA, 527 nt
Filed under: uncultured bacterium
Lineage: Bacteria
Description: bacterial SSU rRNA
Rfam family: Bacterial small subunit ribosomal RNA
Source: RNAcentral